CCGUUCUCAACGGGGUGCCGCACCGUUCGUGCGCGCUGAGAUAAUACCCGUCGAACCUGAUCCGGAUAACGCCGGCGAAGGGAUUUGAGGCUACCGCUCAA
This is a non-coding RNA of Cronobacter sp., 101 nucleotides long. Lineage: Bacteria; Pseudomonadati; Pseudomonadota; Gammaproteobacteria; Enterobacterales; Enterobacteriaceae. The record is from Rfam.